GGGAUAACUACUGGAAACGGUAGCUAAUACCGCAUAACGUCGCAAGACCAAAGUGGGGGACCUGGGAAUAGGCCUAGCGCUUUUUGAGCGGCCGAUGUCGGAUUAGCUAGUUGGUGAGGUAAAGGCUCACCAAGGCGAAGAUCUGUAGCGGGUCUGAGAGGAUGAUCCGCCACACUGGGACUGAGACACGGCCCAG
RNAcentral lists this ribosomal RNA (196 nucleotides) under uncultured Rhodocyclales bacterium. RNAcentral describes it as "partial 16S ribosomal RNA". It matches the Rfam family "Bacterial small subunit ribosomal RNA", at positions 140 to 334 of the family's 1533-position model. The record is from RNAcentral. Lineage: Bacteria; Pseudomonadati; Pseudomonadota; Betaproteobacteria; Rhodocyclales.